ACGCGUGGGAAGUCUGCCCUUGGGUUCGGGAACAACAGUUGGAACGACUGCUAAUACCGGAUGAUGACUUCGGUCCAAAGAUUUAUCGCCCAAGGAUGAGCCCGCGUAGGAUUAGCUUGUUGGUGAGGUAAAAGCUCACCAAGGCGACGAUCCUUAGCUGGUCUGAGAGGAUGAUCAGCCACACUGGGGACUGAGACACGGCCCAGACUCCUACGGGAGGCAGCAGUGGGGAAUAUUGGACAAUGGGCGAAAGCCUGAUCCAGCAAUGCCGCGUGAGUGAUGAAGGCCUUAGGGUUGUAA
RNAcentral lists this ribosomal RNA (300 nucleotides) under uncultured Sphingomonas sp. Its description in RNAcentral is "bacterial SSU rRNA". It matches the Rfam family "Bacterial small subunit ribosomal RNA", at positions 113 to 428 of the family's 1533-position model. Lineage: Bacteria; Pseudomonadati; Pseudomonadota; Alphaproteobacteria; Sphingomonadales; Sphingomonadaceae. The record is from RNAcentral.